This 253-nucleotide ribosomal RNA is filed under the name uncultured bacterium. Its description in RNAcentral is "partial 16S ribosomal RNA". It matches the Rfam family "Bacterial small subunit ribosomal RNA", at positions 524 to 776 of the family's 1533-position model. The record is from RNAcentral.
UACGUAGGGGGCAAGCGUUGUCCGGAUUUAUUGGGCGUAAAGAGCGUGUAGGCGGCUAGGUAGGUCCGUUGUGAAAACUCGAGGCUCAACCUCGAGACGUCGGUGGAAACCGUUUGGCUAGAGUCCGGAAGAGGAGAGUGGAAUUCCCGGUGUAGCGGUGAAAUGCGCAGAUAUCAGGAAGAACACCAAUGGCGAAGGCAGCUCUCUGGGACGGUACUGACGCUGAGACGCGAAAGCGUGGGGAGCGAACAGG